UGCAUCAGCCGGGAAUCGAACCAGGGCCUCCAGCGUGGCAGGCGAGCAUUCUACCACUGAACCACCGAUGC
Molecule: transfer RNA, 71 nt
Filed under: Cordylochernes scorpioides
Lineage: Eukaryota; Metazoa; Arthropoda; Arachnida; Pseudoscorpiones; Chernetidae
Description: tRNA-Gly
Source: RNAcentral